GGACCCGCACAAGUAGUGGAGCAUGUGGUUUAAUUCGAUGCAACGCGAAGAACCUUACCAGGGUUUGACAUCCUGCGAAUCUCUUGGAAACUUGAGAGUGCCUUCGGGAGCGCAGUGACAGGUGGUGCAUGGCUGUCGUCAGCUCGUGUCGUGAGAUGUUGGUUAAGUCCCGCAACGAGCGCAACCCACGUCUUUAGUUGCCAGCAUUUAGUUGGGCACUCUAGAGAGACCGCCGGUGAUAAACCGGAGGAAGGUGUGGAUGACGUCAAGUCAUCAUGCCCCUUACAUCCUGGGCUACACACGUGCUACAAUGGCGCAUACAGAGGGCGGCCAACUUGCGAGAGUGAG
RNAcentral lists this ribosomal RNA (348 nucleotides) under uncultured bacterium. RNAcentral describes it as "bacterial SSU rRNA". It matches the Rfam family "Bacterial small subunit ribosomal RNA", at positions 917 to 1267 of the family's 1533-position model. The record is from RNAcentral.